UAUGUGCCCACCUGCACUGGCAACCAGUGUGGCUUGUGUGACUGCAAGCGUGGUCACAUGGGGCAGGUCACAUGACUAACUAGGAAGUUAUAAAGUUUGGUUUGUUGAGAGCUCACAUUCUCUUGCUGCUGCCACCACUUGCUCUUUGUGACUGUUAAGGUCCCCUGUCAUGCAGGGUGAAUGCUAGAACCAUGUGUUUCACUCUUCAUGGAGGACACUGAGGUGACUGCCUGAUUUUAAGAUUUAUCAGUGCUGGGCUACAGACACUGAUGCUCUGGUAAUUUGUUUUAUAUUUAUGAUCUUAGUUGUUUGUUUACAUUGGUAGUUAUAAAUCAAUUAACUGUUUCUUUAAAUCUGUAGCACUGGAAUGUUCCUUUCUUCCUGUGUCACUGUGCUAUGGGGAGUAGUGAACGCUCUUGCAAAGGACCAGGCCAGCCACUGUUUUACUGUUAGUUUUUGGGUUUGUUUGUUUGCUUUCAUUUUGUUUGUCUUUUUGUUUGUUUGCAUGGUCUCUCUGUAACUGCUGGGACUAACAUCACUUGCUUAAGCUCGCACGCUUACAGCUCUUGUGCUGUGAGCUGACUGUUCCUCUUUUGUCCCAUCAUAUACUGUAGGCUGUCUCUGUACAAGGCCGGAUCCGCAACUCAGUACUGCUCCUUUCGGGUUGGGUGGCACAUGGAGGGAGCCAUUUUCUCGGUGUGUACUGGUCAGCAACACGGUGUGUACUGGUCAACAACACGGUGUGUACUGGUCAGCAACACGGUGUGGUAUUUUGUAGUGGUAUCCUGUAGUGGUAUUUACUUCUUGUGUUUGCAGUGCUUGCCGUGUUGCAUUCUUUUGUGGUGCUGGGUUUGCUGUCUCUCUCUCCCUCUCUCACCAGGGCCUCUCUCCAAGACGGGAGCUGUGUGUGCUGACCCGACCUUAUUAGCCUGAGGAGUCUCAGCCAGUUAUC
Molecule: long non-coding RNA, 952 nt
Organism: Alosa sapidissima (American shad)
Lineage: Eukaryota; Metazoa; Chordata; Actinopteri; Clupeiformes; Clupeidae
Exons: 3
Source: RefSeq, a predicted model, not a curated record